Cucumis melo (muskmelon) is the source of this 1176-nucleotide long non-coding RNA. RefSeq lists it as uncharacterized. The transcript is spliced from 4 exons. Lineage: Eukaryota; Viridiplantae; Streptophyta; Magnoliopsida; Cucurbitales; Cucurbitaceae. The record is from RefSeq and is a predicted model, not a curated record.
UUCUUUUUCCUUCUUCAAUUUGCAGAGAACUUCUAAGAGAGAGUUUGGAAGAAGAAGAGAAAUUUUACUAGAAUUUUUAGGUUGAAGAAGAGGAGGAGAACUCAAGCAAAGUGUAUCAAUGGCUGAAUUUUAGUUCAUUCUGCACAUCACUGGUUUUUAAUUCGGUUUGAACUCUUCAAAAGGAAUUAAGAGGACAGUUGGUUUUCACUCGAAAUCAAGAGGUCUCUGGUUUUUCUUGUAUUUCAGAGUGUAUCGGUAGAGUUAGAAUCUCUAUUUGGAACAAGUUAAAGAGGUCGUGUGCGCGCGAUUCUGGAAGUGAUUCUGUUUUGAGGGUUAUAUGUGUUUAUGCACGGGGAAUCAGAUUUAUAUGUCUUCAGGCCGAAAAGAAUUAAACCGAGCUUAUAGACCAAGGGUCUAGCCCAAGACUGUGAGUGACAAAACCAACUUUGAAAUAUUUUCCAUAACUGUUAUUAUGAUUGAAUGCGAUAAAUGUUUAUUUACGAAGCCAUGAAAGGUAUUUGAAUUUCAUGACUAUUUUCAAGUAUACAUUUGGAGACUAGAUUUCUUAAAGAAAUUUAUGCUAGCACGUAGAUAUUAAAUGUUUGGAAAGUAUUUAAACCACAAUAUUUUAAGCAAAGCAUGAAUUAGUAUGAAGUUUUGUUUUAAGAACUACAAUUUUCCACGAAAGAGCUGAGUAAAGUUCGAGCUUUGUGUAAAAUUUAUAAGCAGGCAUGUUUUAAUAUUUUAUGAUGAUUUAUGAAAUUUUCAUUAACUACAUGACUGAGAUCUUGAGCUUGAGGCUAGAGAUUACCGUGUGCACACUGGUUAGAUUUCGUUGUUGACGUUGAGUGUACUCCGUAACAACGAUGCUGUCGUGAGUGCUGGGCGGGCCCCACUACGACAAAGACGAUGGGAGUGCUGGGCGGGCCCCACUACAUCGUAGUGCUUGUAAACGUUGUUGUACUAGGUGUACCCUACACAACGUAGAUUCGUCAUGUUAGUUAAAAUGCUUCGAUAUACUUGAUAUGCCUUGCUAGAUUUCAAUGAUGAACAUGCUGAGUAUUUAAGGAAGCUAUUCUUACUAUUACACAUUUACAUUUAUGACUUGUAUAAACAGAUUUAUAUGUGUAAAGUUUUCACGUGCUCUUAUCUUUAAAUUCAUAGCUUUAAACUGAG